This 468-nucleotide ribosomal RNA is filed under the name uncultured bacterium. RNAcentral describes it as "partial 16S ribosomal RNA". It matches the Rfam family "Bacterial small subunit ribosomal RNA", at positions 28 to 507 of the family's 1533-position model. The record is from RNAcentral.
GACGAACGCUGGCGGCGUGCUUAACACAUGCAAGUCGAACGGAAAGGCCCUGCUUUUGUGGGGUGCUCGAGUGGCGAACGGGUGAGUAACACGUGAGUAACCUGCCCUUGACUUUGGGAUAACUUCAGGAAACUGGGGCUAAUACCGGAUAGGAGCUCCUGCUGCAUGGUGGGGGUUGGAAAGUUUCGGCGGUUGGGGAUGGACUCGCGGCUUAUCAGCUUGUUGGUGGGGUAGUGGCUUACCAAGGCUUUGACGGGUAGCCGGCCUGAGAGGGUGGCCGGCCACAUUGGGACUGAGAUACGGCCCAGACUCCUACGGGGGGCAGCAGUGGGGAAUAUUGCACAAUGGGCGGAAGCCUGAUGCAGCAACGCCGCGUGCGUGAUGACGGCCUUCGGGUUGUAAACCGCUUUCGCCUGUGACGAAGCGUGAGUGACGGUAAUGGGUAAAGAAGCACCGGCUAACUACGUG